UUGACCUCGGAUCAGGUAGGGCUACCCGCUGAACUUAAGCAUAUCAAUAAGCGGAGGA
RNAcentral lists this ribosomal RNA (58 nucleotides) under Talaromyces variabilis. RNAcentral describes it as "partial 28S ribosomal RNA". It matches the Rfam family "Eukaryotic large subunit ribosomal RNA", at positions 1 to 57 of the family's 3401-position model. The record is from RNAcentral. RNAcentral also lists the same sequence under 4 other names. Lineage: Eukaryota; Fungi; Ascomycota; Eurotiomycetes; Eurotiales; Trichocomaceae.